Molecule: ribosomal RNA, 494 nt
Filed under: uncultured bacterium
Lineage: Bacteria
Description: bacterial SSU rRNA
Rfam family: Bacterial small subunit ribosomal RNA
Source: RNAcentral
GAGUUUGAUCCUGGCUCAGGAUGAACGCUGGCGGCGUGCUUAACACAUGCAAGUCGAACGGGAAUGCCACGCUGAUGCGAUUUCGGUCAGAUCAUGUGGCAUUCGAGUGGCGGACGGGUGAGUAACGCGUGGGUAACCUGCCUUACACAGGGGGAUAACACCUGGAAACAGGUGCUAAUACCGCAUAAGCGCACAGGGCCGCAUGGCCCGGUGUGAAAAACUCCGGUGGUGUAAGAUGGACCCGCGUCUGAUUAGCUUGUUGGCGGGGUAGGGGCCCACCAAGGCGACGAUCAGUAGCCGGCCUGAGAGGGUGGACGGCCACAUUGGGACUGAGACACGGCCCAAACUCCUACGGGAGGCAGCAGUGGGGGAUAUUGGACAAUGGGGGAAACCCUGAUCCAGCGACGCCGCGUGAGUGAAGAAGUAUUUCGGUAUGUAAAGCUCUGUCAGCAGGGAAGAAAGAAAUGACGGUACCUGACCAAGAAGCCCCGGCU